UGCCAUAUAGCCAAGCGGUAAGGCACGGGAUUUUGAUUCCUGUAUCACCGGUUCGAAUCCGGUUAGGGUAG
This 71-nucleotide transfer RNA is filed under the name Caudoviricetes sp. RNAcentral's name for it is "tRNA-Gln". It matches the Rfam family "tRNA". Rfam says of the family: Transfer RNA (tRNA) molecules are approximately 80 nucleotides in length. Their secondary structure includes four short double-helical elements and three loops (D, anti-codon, and T loops). Lineage: Duplodnaviria; Heunggongvirae; Uroviricota; Caudoviricetes. The record is from RNAcentral.